Molecule: long non-coding RNA, 1346 nt
Organism: Eublepharis macularius
Lineage: Eukaryota; Metazoa; Chordata; Lepidosauria; Squamata; Eublepharidae
Exons: 3
Source: RefSeq, a predicted model, not a curated record
CGACUUCUCCAGAAAAACAUUUUCAGCCCAUAAAAAUCACAUGACCCCAGAGAUCUAUAUUGAGGAAGGAAGUGAGAGUCACAGUAUGUGAAUGCCAAAGGAUGACUUGAUCUGAAUUUACAUAGACCCAAAAUCUCCCUGAGCCCUAGGAGGGAGACAAUUGUGGGAAGCCAUGUUACCAUUCAAUGCUGGGCCAAAAGUCCAGGAUGGAUCAGAGAAAGUUGUGCUUCUUCAGACUAGUAAAAUUUUGAAGGAGGUAAGUCUCCACAUACAUAGCACUAAAUCUUAAGGAAGUUUCCAACAUGGAUCUGCGAGUGAGUAAAAGCAUCUCUUGGUCUGACACAGGGUAAGUAGUUUCUGCAGACCUCCCCCCAGCCCAACGUGUGCUUUGUUUGUGAGGCAUUGUUUAGUUCUACAGUAGAGGGACUGUAUAUCCUUUGAUAUGAACUUAGAAAAGCUAACACACUGGAAAAUAUUGGUCUUUCAGGAGCUACUGGUCUCCGUUUUCUUAUCCUCAAAUGUGAUCUCUGUCCCUGCACUUUGUAUGUGCCUGGUGCUGUGCAAUGAAGGGCUACAACUCUGUCUGCAGUUAGGGAUGCUGAGAACUUUGAUGUGAAUGUGAUCCUCAGCCAAACAUACUGUGAUCAAACUGUUGUCAUUCAAAGUUUGGAUCAAAUGCCAUGUGUCUUGGAGCCUGUGCAGUAGGUGUUUGUGCUACAGGGUCAACAUGACUAGGUUGUGUCUUGGUAAAUAUGGGUUGCUGCUUGUAGCUGUUUUUGCACCUGUGCAUUUUGUGAACUAAACCUUCUCAAGUCACUGGAGAAGAAGGCAAGAUUCCCCAGGGUGACCAAUGUGUUAUUAAAGUAUCUACUUGUUGAGCACAUAAUCACGUGCAUUUUACCAUUCUUUUUGCUUUCACAGGGGCCGUCUAUACUGCAGCUGAAAUCUGGUUUUUCUUUGCCUUCGGGGUACCUCUGAUCAUAGGCGUUUGGGGCGAUUGUUCCACACAACAGGUUUUUAUAUGGGACUUCCCCAUGUGUGUGUCCUACCUUCGUUUACAGACUGUUCCAUUUGUGAUGAUUCCUCCCCACCCUUUUUGGCACUUGCACUGUUGUGAUGGGGUAAUUUACUACCCCAUUGACUUUUCCAGUUAUCAUCACAGGCAAAUUGUACCUUACGUAUGUGUCUGUCCUUUGGUAAGCUGCAUCCCCACAUUUGACUGGUUACUUUGAUUGGUUGUACUAGCCUCCCUUCCCUUUCUGAUAGCUAUGAUCAUGGAACUAAGGGGAUGUGGCUUUGGAAAGUUAUUGUUGAGGUUCUUCAGAGAACCCUUAGGCUGUUUUAUU